AGUGAACGCUGGCGGUAGGCCUAACACAUGCCAGUCGAACGGCAGCACAGUAAGAGCUUGCUCUUACGGGUGGCGAGUGGCGGACGGGUGAGGAACACAUCGGAAUCUACUUUUUCGUGGGGGAUAACGUAGGGAAACUUACGCUAAUACCGCAUACGACCUACGGGUGAAAGCAGGGGAUCUUCGGACCUUGCGCGAUUGAAUGAGCCGAUGUCGGAUUAGCUAGUUGGCGGGGUAAAGGCCCACCAAGGCGACGAUCCGUAGCUGGUCUGAGAGGAUGAUCAGCCACACUGGAACUGAGACACGGUCCAGACUCCUACGGGAGGCAGCAGUGGGGAAUAUUGGACAAUGGGCGCAAGCCUGAUCCAGCCAUACCGCGUGGGUGAAGAAGGCCUUCGGGUUGUAAAGCCCUUUUGUUGGGAAAGAAAAGCAGCAGGUUAAUACCCCGCUGUUCUGACGGUACCCAAAGAAUAAGCACCGGCUAACUUCGUG
This 492-nucleotide ribosomal RNA is filed under the name uncultured bacterium. Its description in RNAcentral is "partial 16S ribosomal RNA". It matches the Rfam family "Bacterial small subunit ribosomal RNA", at positions 29 to 507 of the family's 1533-position model. The record is from RNAcentral.